This is a non-coding RNA of Python bivittatus (Burmese python), 1103 nucleotides long. The record is from RefSeq and is a predicted model, not a curated record. NCBI's taxonomy places the organism in Eukaryota, Metazoa, Chordata, Lepidosauria, Squamata, Pythonidae.
AUAAAUUCAAAAAGGAAAAUUGCAGUGAAAUGAAACCAUUUGCCAGCUCUGACAUCUAAUAAGAGCAUAAUCGCCCGUUCCUUUUUUUAGUGAGCUGCUGCUUUGUAACUCCCCCUGAAGGAAGUUGCAGGUGUCUCGGUUUGCAAAGGCUGGCUCUGAGGGACGGAAAGCAAUUUUGCAGCCGCCUGAGUUUCUCCUGCCAAAUGUUGGUUUUAAUGAAGAAGGUGGACGUGUGCGUUUGAAACGAUGGCGUGGCGUAGCAAACUGCCAAGACAGGUUGUGGAUGGCGCUCUUCCCGUCAGUGUGUUGCAAGGUGGCUUAGAUCCGGAUUAAAUCACGUGUUGGAAAGCUGGCACCUCCGCUGACCCCCCACCUCGUAGGGAGUUGGCUCUGUCUUGCACAGAGACCCCUUGCAAUUGGUCCUGUGUGUUUCUGGUUUGCUUCUCCCCUGCUCCCCAAAACGCGGCUCACGGAGAAGGCUGCUGAAGGUUGCAAAGCACCUUCCUAUCAUUGCUAUUUAUUUUUUGCAAAGCUCCGGUCUUCCUUUCCCUGCCCCCGGGUCUGUGCCACGGAACUGCCAAGUCCACGUUUCAGAGAAAAGCAGCCUUCGUCGAUUUCGAUCGGGCCGGCACGCCUUCCCGUCCCAGCCUUCAGAGCGACGUGGAAACGAGCAAGGGCCAGCUUGGAUCGCACCUUUUCCGCCUGCUCCCGGGCGGUUUCUGAAAAGGAUCGACGGGCCGGAGUUGAAGACAUCACAGCCUGCGUGCCAGCGUUUUGUGCCAGCCUCCUUCGCCGAGUUGUGGGAAUGCCUGUUAAUUUGUUAGGAAAGGAAAACAAGCUAGAUGGCUUUGCUGGCCCAGGCGAGCUGCGUGGCUGUUAAGUCCAAGCCUGUAGGGAGGAAUGGAAAUUCCCCAGGAGUCUCACAAGCCCUGAUGGACAUCUGACAACUUGCAGCCAGCGAGCUGGAAGAGCAUGGUUAAACACCAGCCACUCCAGUAUUAUGAGCCCCAGUUGUGUUUGUCAUGCCUGACGGGAAUUUACGGCUGCCGAUGGAAGCGGUACCAGCGGUCACAUGAUGACACCACCAAGGUGAGAACUCCUCU